RNAcentral lists this long non-coding RNA (349 nucleotides) under Sorghum bicolor (sorghum). RNAcentral describes it as "long non-coding RNA (SBIC_LNC004645)". Lineage: Eukaryota; Viridiplantae; Streptophyta; Magnoliopsida; Poales; Poaceae. The record is from RNAcentral.
CAAACAAGAUGUCACAAGCUCCAAGUCAAGCUACACCCACUCAAGUUUCACCUACACCGACACCAGCACAAGUCAUCGAUGGACCGAUUACACGUAGUCGUGCAAAGAAGCUACAACAAGAGGUCCACGCGCUACUUUGUGAGAUUAAUUUUAACAUUAAUGAGAAUUUUAUACUACCUAAGUAUUGUACUUUGAUUGUACUCAGGUAAAUAGAAGAAGAGAAGGAUGAAUCGGACCCUGAUGAACGGACUAGUGCAAGUUCCACAAGAAGUCAAAAACGGACCAGUGGAAGUCAAAAAUGGACCAGUGCAAAGAAAUAUUCAUAACUUUUUACUCACAAAAGCUAUCA